AUACAUUUAUUUUGUACCUCCUCUAUUAAACAAUUUUUUAAUUUACCUUGAAAAAUGUGAAAAAUCGAACUCUUAACUAAAGAUCACUAGCUUUUUAGGAAGAAUUUGGAUUUUUAUUUAUUGUCAGAAUUUAAUCUUCAUUCUCUUUGCUUUCUUCAAUAUUGCCUCAACAAGUUCCUGUGGUUCACGAUACUUGAAAUAUAUACAAUGUUACCAGCGUGGAAAUUGUCUUGGAAACUUGGAAAAUCUUUCAAGAGGAACAACAUUGCUAACUGAGAUUCGAGAAAGGAAAGGUAUCUCAUGAUCAUGUGAUAACACACAGGAAGAAAGAAUAGAGGAAAAAACAGCGUAAGAAAAAGUUGCGUAAGAGUAUCGUCGCACUACAUCAUUCGACAAUUGAUGCACGUCAUGGCGAUCGUCACGGUUUAAAGCAGGCCAUCAAAAACACGUUUGUUAUCGUACGGAAAAAUCUGCGACGUUCCAGCUGUUCAGGUGCAUCGAAUUGUGAAUCAUCGGCGGUACGAAGCAAGGCGAGGGGCGUAAAUAGAGAAAGAA
Molecule: long non-coding RNA, 555 nt
Organism: Bombus huntii
Lineage: Eukaryota; Metazoa; Arthropoda; Insecta; Hymenoptera; Apidae
Exons: 2
Source: RefSeq, a predicted model, not a curated record